Molecule: small nuclear RNA, 100 nt
Filed under: Procavia capensis (Cape rock hyrax)
Lineage: Eukaryota; Metazoa; Chordata; Mammalia; Hyracoidea; Procaviidae
Source: RNAcentral
GUGCUGCUGUACAUACCCUAAAACUGGAAUGAUACAGAGAAGAUUAACAUGGUCCCUGCGCAAGGAAGACACGCAAACUUGUGAAGCAUUCCGUAGUUUU